RNAcentral lists this ribosomal RNA (293 nucleotides) under uncultured prokaryote. Its description in RNAcentral is "partial 16S ribosomal RNA". It matches the Rfam family "Archaeal small subunit ribosomal RNA", at positions 455 to 747 of the family's 1478-position model. The record is from RNAcentral.
GUGUCAGCAGCCGCGGUAAUACCGGCAGCACGAGUGAUGACCGCUAUUAUAGGGCCUAAAGCGUCCGUAGCUGGCCACGCAAGUUCAUCGGGAAAUCUGCGCGCUUAACGCGCAGGCGUCCGGUGGAAACUGCAUGGCUUGGGACCGGAAGACCAGAGGGGUACGUCCGGGGUAGGAGUGAAAUCCCGUAAUCCUGGACGGACCACCGGUGGCGAAAGCGCCUCUGGAAGACGGAUCCGACGGUGAGGGACGAAAGCUCGGGUCACGAACCGGAUUAGAAACCCCCGUAGUCC